Long non-coding RNA from Oncorhynchus kisutch (coho salmon), 6081 nucleotides. The record is from Ensembl. NCBI's taxonomy places the organism in Eukaryota, Metazoa, Chordata, Actinopteri, Salmoniformes, Salmonidae.
AUGGGGGACCAUGAGACUGUCAUCGAAAGGGAUGAGCAGAGAGAAAUUGAACAGAAGUUUGAGGAACUCUUGUUGGAUUACCAGAUCAGUGAAAAUGAAAGCCUGCAAGAUGUCACAUUUGAAGACAGGAUGAGAAACCUCCAGACUGAGCUGACAGUCCAAUACUUUAGAGAGAAGCACCUCUCCCUUUGGCCUCUUUUUACCUUAGAGAAUGCCAUCAUGUAUGAAGAUCUCUCUCUAACUGAGAGGUUCUGUAUCCUUAAGGCCGUGACAGAGGUAACACUGGCAGGCAACCCGGAUGCCGUCAAUGGGGAUGUCCACCAACUUGAGUGUGCCAAGAGGUAUAACUUCCACCUUAGUCUUCUUGAGCAUCUGAAUGGUUCAAAUUCCACUCUGGCAGGUAAACUUCUUUUGGCUUUUUUUGACACAUUUUCAGAUGUGUCUCAGACCAGCAGGGAGCUCCUUAGUCAAAUUCUCUUCAGUAACAUCUGGACACCUGUAGAAAUCCUGCUCUUUCUUCGUGGGGUUGGUUCCAUGGACCAGAAGAAAACAGAUGCAAUCCUUCAUACAGUGCAGACCUACAGGCUGGAUCUUCUCUCCACACUCUCUGCCCUUAGAAGUAAUGAUCCCAAUAAGACUCUGCAAGGUUAUGCAGAAGAAGAAACUGACAAAGAUAUUGACACCAUUUUGAGUGAGAUGCGGGAUGCAAAUUACCCCGAAAAGUUACUCUCUAUAAUGGAGACUGUCUUAGGACAUAUAGAAGAGAAGCUUUCAAAAGAUCCCAUGGUAGACACACAGAAGAAACUGAGCAAGAGAGAAAAAAUGGAAAUGAUCAAAGACUUCAAGAACAAAAUUAAAUUGUUGAAUUUUGCUGAGGCAGACAACACUAUCCUCAAGGAAGUUCUUAUUACAAUGUGUAUUGCUGUUAAAGACUGCACAGCCGUUUCCACUCAAAGUGGAGAGCAAAUCAAGGGAUAUUUUCCCAGACUCACCCAGCUGGCAUCAUUAGUCAUGCUCCUUCUACCAAAGGCAACAUCAGAUAAAGGAUGCCUCUUAGAAAUUGGCACAGGAGAAGGAAAGUCUUGCAUUCUAGCUAUGUUUGCAGCAAUCCAGGCCAUCAGAGGGGCCACAGUCGACAUUGUGACCAGUUCUCCAAUCCUUGCACGACGGGACGAAGAGGAGUGGAGAAAACUUUUUGACAUGUUUGAUAUCACAUCCUCCGUUGUGCCUCCACCGUUGAUGAAGGAGAGCAGCCUUAAAAGCUGUGACAAAAUACUACAGGACGCUUACAAAAGACAGAUUGUGUAUGGAACUGUAAGUGACUUUGCAGCAGACACUUUGAGGCAGGAAUUUGAGAAAAACACCACUCGUGGGGAGAGGAAGUUUGACUUAGUGAUUGUGGAUGAAGUAGAUUACAUGACCUUGGACAGUGGAGUGCAGGUGACCUUCCUGUCUCAUGAAGCCAGCGGCCUUAGGCACGUUGAGCAAGUCCUUGCUAGCAUUUGGUGCAUGAUAUCCGUGUGUCGGCCUAUUCGAAUGGAAGAAACGGGGGAGACUGAGUGGAUAACUGGGAUACAGCAUUUUCACAAGGCUGCAAAGAUGGCUGUUAUGGGCUCAGACAGAUCUGAACACUUUUCUGAAUUUAAUAUUCUGCAAACAGGGUUGCAGUUUGGAUUUUACACACAGGAAGACAUUGAUACAUUGAUGCAGAGUGAAAGUGAGGCACAAAGAGAUGGUAAAGCUGAUGAUUUUCAAGAUGAGAAUUGGAAAGCUAUUGAGGUGUUCAUGACUAAAAUUGGAGUGGAACAACAAUAUGAUCUGCUCAGUAUUCUUGAGACGGCAUUAGAUCAAACUGUUUUCAUCGACUGUUACACAUUAACAAAUAAUAAAGCCACAUCAAUUGGAGAGAAAAAAAGGGACAGUGACAUGAAAAUCAAAAUGCUUCUCCUCAACAAUGGACGAGCUAGUGAAAUAAUGUCUGAAAAAUCACUAAUUGAUGCAGUUGUUCUUGAGAUACAAUCUAAAAUCAUAUAUUCUGACCAAUGUCAGCCAAACUCAGAGGAAACCGAUAACUAUAUUGUGAUCCCCUUCUUCCUUAAGAAGUACAUUGAGAAUCGGAUGCCAGUCUUUGUGGGAAAUGCCUUAAAAGCUAUUGCAAUGAAACAAGGCAGAGAGUACAUGAUUGGCAUGUCUUCUGACGCUAAUCCAAGCACUGUCAGUGAGUCUGACAAACAUUUCUACCAUGCCAUCAUCCCAGUGGACUACCAGGCCAGUGGAGUACUGGAAAAGAACAAACGCUGGGGUGACGGCCUUCAACAGUUUCUAGAGAUGAAGCACCAGUUGGCCAUAUCAUCGCUAUCCAAUGUUACAAAUUAUAUGUCAAAUAUCCAUUACUUUAAAAGAUACCUUAAAGGGAGUGGCAUAUUUGGUGUUUCUGGAACAUUAGGUGGAAAUGCAGACAAACACUUCUUGAAAAGCCAUUACAAAUCAGACAGCUAUACGAUACCUUCUCACAGGCACAAUAAGGUAGUUGAACUCCCCGCUCUUCAGGUAAGCGGUGAUGACUUAAAAUGGAUAGAGGUAGUCUGUGAAAGUGCAUUGAAAGCUGCCGACAGGAACCAGGUCGUCUUGGUGGUUUGUGAGGAUGUUAAGACAGCAAAUGAAUUACAGGUGGCAAUGGCCAACCGAAGAGCAAAUCAACGACAUCCAAUCACCAUGUACACAAUCAGUGAGAGAGACAACAUUGAGCAAACCACAUUCAGUGGGGGAAGCAUCAUUAUCGCCACCAAUCUGGGAGGACGUGGCACAGACAUUAGAUUGGAGCAGAAAGUGAAUCAAUGCGGCGGACUCUUUGUCCUUCUCACGCACUUUCCUGACAAUCGCAGAGUGGAGAAACAGGUGUUUGGACGCACAGCCAGAAAAGGAAAUUCCGGCAUGGUACAAAUGAUACUCCAUUGUGACCAACUGGCACCAGCGUACCAGGGCCAGCCUGUGGAGAUCAUGAGGCAGCUAAGAGAGGAUCAUGAAAUCCAACGCAUCACUGGUAUGGAGACAAAUGAGCUGCAGGAAAUUGAAAGGAAGGAAAAAUUAUUUUCAACAGUUUGCCAAUUUCUUGACAAUUUUGACAGCAACUACUCAGAAAAAGAGAGAGAGAACCUGUUGACAAUAAAGGUGGAGGAACAUAGUUUCAGACGUCAAGGCGAUAAGCUUGAUUACCAGCCAGCACUCAAUGCUCUGAAAGAAUCCUGGGCAUUGUGGUUGACCCUUCAUGAGACCCAUAUCGAGAAGGAUGAUGAUAUCUCUGACUUGGAAGCAGACUUACUUCAACAAUUGACAAACACAAGGAACAUGAUGUUGAAAGGACAAAGCCGAAAUUUCUAUGACCAUCUGAAGCAGGCUGUUGUUAGAACCAACCUGCACUGCCGUGAUAAAACCAAGUGGGACUAUGAUGCAAAAUCUUCCUGGCAGAAAGCUGCAAAAUGUGACCCCUUUUACAGAGCAGUGGCGCUAUACAACCAAGCUUACAUCACAAUUAACCUGGCAGAGAGUGACCAUAAAACAGAGGCUAGUAAAUUACUGCAGGAAGCAAAAGACACACUAGGUAUCUAUAUCUCUGAAACAACAAACACUUUGAAUGCAUGUCAGAUGGCAAUGAGGGGCAACUUUGAGCCACAUCAUGAUGGUGUCUGCAAUUUCCAAAGUCAGAUGCAAUCUAGGAUGAAUAUUUUCCAAGCAUGGCUGGGAUACAUUAACAGUACACUGAAAAAACUUGCAGAGCUAAAGAACAGUAAAAGUAGCGCCAUAACAGAGGAUUCCUCAGUGUAUGCACUCUCAGACGGGACAGACUAUGUCACCACAAAUGAACUCAUGGGCCUGUAUGAGUACGGCCUUGGCAUGGUGUUCGAAGUAAAAGAGAAGCCAAGGUUCAACAUUGAUGCUCUUGUGUGUUUUUUACUGGGUGCAUGUCAGGUUCUGGCUGGAGUUCUUGUUUGUGCUCUGUCCUAUGGCUCCGCCUCCCAGUUUGGUCUUGCCUUGAUCUCAGAGGGAGUGUCUGACAUGAUCAGUGGGUGUGAUGGCAUGAUAACUGGCAGUUUCAGUUGGGCAUCGUGGGCCAUCUCCAAAAGCAUCGGUAUUGGGAUAUCUUUGCUCACUUCUGGAUUUGGCACCAUCAAGAGAGCUGUCCAGUCUGUAUAUAAAGCCACAAAAGGCUUGCUAACAGGUACAAAAACCCUGUCAUCUGUUGCAAAAGGUGUCAUUAAAUCAGGGAAACAUGCAUUCAUGUCUUUCAAAGGCAGUGUCACAGCGGUCUCCUCUCUGUCCCUAGGUACAGUGAAGAAGCUGGGCACGAAAACUGUAGUCAAACAGACUUUCAAACAUGCAACCAAGUAUGCAGGACAGGAAAUGGCUAAGCAGAUAGUUACCCACACAUUGCAUUACUUCAUUGAUGCAGGGCUUCAAGCUGUACUGAAGGAGAUUUUGAACAAGGCUUUCAAGGAUUCAAUCACCUCUGUAGUUAAAGAGAAUGAUGCAUUGAGUCACACUCUCACAGAGCUUGUAUGUGCUGGAGUUCCAAAAUCAGCUUUACAGAAACAAGCUGCUGAGUUCAAGAUAGACAGGGAGUGUGAAAAAAGUAUUAAAGAUUUAGUAAAAUCAGUGACAGAAAAAAUUAUUUCUGAUCUUAUGAUAGAUUGCAGCACAGUGCAUGAGAUCAUUGACAGAGUCUCUCAGGUGUGUAGCAAAGCGUCAGACCUUAUGGACAACGCAGGAGUGCCUGGAAAAGUCCAAACUGCUAUCUCUGCAAGCCUCUGCAUAGCAGAGUUCAGUACAGUGCUAGUCCAAAUGUUGAACUCUAUCCCUACAGAAAAAUGUAUCAAUGACAGAUUCUCUUCCAAGUUGAUAAAAGAAAUUCAUGCGCAACUGCCAAAUGGGUAUGACCAGGAUGGCAGACACAGACUCCUUGAUGUGGGACGCCUGAAGAAUGAGCUCCUCGAGGGCAUCUCAGAGAAUGUCUCCCAGGAAUUUAUUGAGUCCUGUGCCAGACACAUGAACUCCUUGAUAACACAUAUUUUUAAGGAAAAGAUCAAUAAAGUCACGAACGCCAUUGGCAAUACCACUAGCAACAUGCUUGGCAGGUACAAAACGGAAAACUAUUUCGUAGAGCAGAAGCAGAGGCAUGACAUGAAAUCAGCCAGUAAGCAUGCAGGGGAGUCUACAUGUGAGAUUGAACAGUCGGACCUCCAUCAUUACAUCAAUAACAUCAGUGAUAUUGACCGCCCUGCUUCAGAGCUGGACAUCUAUGUCCUUACAAAGAGUGACCUACUCCAGGGCCAAGGCAUCAGGGUCAAGGUAGUGGAUAAACAUGGGAAACCACUCGAUGAGCAAUCCUACCCAGGCACUGACUGCUCAGCAGGAUACAUCACACUCAAACUGACCAUGGAGCCAGAGACAGCUAAAAGUGAGAUGGGUCUGUUAUCUCACAUACAAGACCGAAUCCAAGGUGUUCAAACUGCGUACAGCGGCCAUUUUACCAUUGUUCAACCAGAUGGAUGUGAGACCAGGGUGAUGUCAGAGGGCCAGAAUUGCAUGUACCAUGCCUUAAUCCAGGCAACAUCCAGAAGCCAGGAGCAGGACAUCAAAGAACAGGCAAGGAUUCUGCGCAAAAAAGUACAAAGCGAGGUUCAGGAAAACCUCCCAACCUACUGUGAGUUAGUAAAACUCCAGAAGCGCUAUGAUAAUGUUAUGGAUCCUGGAAAAUAUUCCAUAUUGGGAGGGGUAAGGCCAGAAAAGAAGAUUAUCAGCCAGGACUACAGGGAUGCCAUCGCACCUAUGACGGAAACCGACUAUAUCAUUGCCCAGCUUUACGACCUUGGUUAUGUUGCCACAUACAAAGAUGUAAGAAACACCAUAUUGUCUGGAAGGUACGCUGUGGAAGCCGACCACAUCAUACCAAAGGACACAUUAAGGAAGGCACUAGUACACCGUGACUUGGAAAAACUCAAGAGUUCUCUACCAACAUCACCGCACUGCCUUGACAACUGGCAAUUGCAUGGAGGCCAAACUGUGCAGGGCACUGCUGGCUGA